AUUGAACGCUGGCGGCAUGCCUUACACAUGCAAGUCGAACGGCAGCGGACCUUCGGGUGCCGGCGAGCGGCGAACGGGUGAGUAAUGCAUCGGAACGUGCCAUUGAGUGGGGGAUAACGUAGCGAAAGUUGCGCUAAUACCGCAUAUUCUGUGAGCAGGAAAGCAGGGGACCGCAAGGCCUUGCGCUCUUUGAGCGGCCGAUGUCAGAUUAGCUAGUUGGUGAGGUAACGGCUUACCAAGGCGACGAUCUGUAGCGGGUCUGAGAGGAUGAUCCGCCACACUGGAACUGAGACACGGUCCAGACUCCUACGGGAGGCAGCAGUGGGGAAUUUUGGACAAUGGGGGCAACCCUGAUCCAGCCAUGCCGCGUGAGUGAAGAAGGCC
This 384-nucleotide ribosomal RNA is filed under the name uncultured bacterium. RNAcentral's name for it is "bacterial SSU rRNA". It matches the Rfam family "Bacterial small subunit ribosomal RNA", at positions 30 to 416 of the family's 1533-position model. The record is from RNAcentral.